Molecule: long non-coding RNA, 444 nt
Organism: Pteropus alecto (black flying fox)
Lineage: Eukaryota; Metazoa; Chordata; Mammalia; Chiroptera; Pteropodidae
Exons: 3
Source: RefSeq, a predicted model, not a curated record
GGUGUGUUCUGGGAAGUUGUGGUUUCCCCUCCAUAAAGAAAGGUUCAAGCAGAAGGUCAAGGGCACCGGAGCAUCGAUGGAUUGUGGGAGCUCCAGAAACAUGUCCUGAGGGCCUAUCACGUGUGCUACACACCUCAUUCAGACUCAUAAAGACCUUGCCAGGCAGGGGUGGGAAUGUGCCCAGGUUCACAGAGAUGUGAAGGGAAGAACUGGAAUCCAAGGACUCCUCACUGGUGGACUGAAAGUCAAAGGAGAGUGAAUGCGGUCAAAGGAAUUCUGGAGCCACUUCUUUACUGGUCAAAUUACUUAACCUCUCUGAAGUUCCUCUUCCUCACCUAAAAAUGCAGAUGAGGAAAAUAAAAGUCCUUCAAGAUCUCAAGUCUGGGCUCAUUGUGAAACUGAACCAAAUGGAGAGACUUGAAUCUUCAUGCUGAUGAUUCUUCC